RNAcentral lists this unclassified non-coding RNA (375 nucleotides) under soil metagenome. Its description in RNAcentral is "partial contains 5.8S ribosomal RNA, internal transcribed spacer 2, and large subunit ribosomal RNA". The stretch from base 1 to 120 matches the Rfam family "5.8S ribosomal RNA", at positions 35 to 154 of the family's 154-position model. The record is from RNAcentral.
GAUGAAGAACGUAGCGAAAUGCGAUAAGUAAUGUGAAUUGCAGAAUUCAGUGAAUCAUCGAAUCUUUGAACGCACAUUGCGCCCGCCGGUAUUCUGGCGGGCAUGCCUGUUCGAGCGUCAUUUCAACCCUCAAGACCCCUUCGGGGGACUUGGUGUUGGGGACCGGCACAGGGGCCUGCCUGCUUGUCUUGCAGCGCCCUCGCCGCCCCCGAAAUGAAUUGGCGGCCUCGUCGCGGCCUCCCCUGCGUAGUAGCACAAACCUCGCAACGGGAACGUGACGGCGGCCACUGCCGUAAAACAACCCAAUUUUAUUAGAGUUGACCUCGAAUCAGGUAGGAAUACCCGCUGAACUUAAGCAUAUCAAUAAGCGGAGGA